AUUUCCUCGGGCGCAGCAGUGGGGAAUAUUGCACAAUGGGGGAAACCCUGAUGCAGCGACGCCGCGUGAGUGAAGAAGUAUUUCGGUACGUAAAGCUCUAUCAGCAGGGAAGAAAAUGACGGUACCUGACUAAGAAGCCCCGGCUAACUACGUGCCAGCAGCCGCGGUAAUACGUAGGGGGCAAGCGUUAUCCGGAUUUACUGGGUGUAAAGGGAGCGUAGACGGCAGCGCAAGUCUGAAGUGAAAUCCAAUGGCUUAACCAUGGAACUGCUUUGGAAACUGUGCAGCUGGAGUGCAGGAGGGGG
RNAcentral lists this ribosomal RNA (305 nucleotides) under uncultured bacterium. RNAcentral's name for it is "bacterial SSU rRNA". It matches the Rfam family "Bacterial small subunit ribosomal RNA", at positions 335 to 658 of the family's 1533-position model. The record is from RNAcentral.